This 253-nucleotide ribosomal RNA is filed under the name uncultured bacterium. Its description in RNAcentral is "partial 16S ribosomal RNA". It matches the Rfam family "Bacterial small subunit ribosomal RNA", at positions 524 to 776 of the family's 1533-position model. The record is from RNAcentral.
UACGUAGGGUGCAAGCGUUGUCCGGAAUUAUUGGGCGUAAAGAGCGUGUAGGCGGCCAGGUAGGUCUGCUGUGAAAACUCGAGGCUCAACCUCGAGACGUCGGCGGAAACCAUCUGGCUAGAGUCCGGAAGAGGAGAGUGGAAUUCCUGGUGUAGCGGUGAAAUGCGCAGAUAUCAGGAAGAACACCCGUGGCGAAGGCGACUCUCUGGGACGGUACUGACGCUGAGACGCGAAAGCGUGGGGAGCGAACAGG